GGUUCUAGUGGCUUAUUGGUUAAAGCGUCCACCUCGGAUGUGAAAGGUCUCGGGAUCGAACCCCGGCCGAGUCA
Molecule: non-coding RNA, 74 nt
Organism: Potamilus streckersoni
Lineage: Eukaryota; Metazoa; Mollusca; Bivalvia; Unionida; Unionidae
Source: the annotation of a GenBank genome assembly